This 1231-nucleotide ribosomal RNA is filed under the name Cryobacterium sp. RNAcentral's name for it is "bacterial SSU rRNA". It matches the Rfam family "Bacterial small subunit ribosomal RNA", at positions 32 to 1278 of the family's 1533-position model. Lineage: Bacteria; Bacillati; Actinomycetota; Actinomycetes; Micrococcales; Microbacteriaceae. The record is from RNAcentral.
AAGAGGGGGGGCGUGCUUACACAUGCAAGUCGAACGGUGAUGGGGAGCUUGCUUCUCUGAUCAGUGGCGAACGGGUGAGUAACACGUGAGCAAUCUGCCCUUGACUCUGGGAUAAGCGUUGGAAACGACGUCUAAUACCGGAUACGACCUUGGAAGGCAUCUUCUGGGGUGGAAAGAAUUUUGGUCAAGGAUGAGCUCGCGGCCUAUCAGCUAGUUGGUGAGGUAAUGGCUCACCAAGGCGACGACGGGUAGCCGGCCUGAGAGGGUGACCGGCCACACUGGGACUGAGACACGGCCCAGACUCCUACGGGAGGCAGCAGUGGGGAAUAUUGCACAAUGGGCGAAAGCCUGAUGCAGCAACGCCGCGUGAGGGACGACGGCCUUCGGGUUGUAAACCUCUUUUAGUAGGGAAGAAGCGUAAAAGUGACGGUACCUGCAGAAAAAGCACCGGCUAACUACGUGCCAGCAGCCGCGGUAAUACGUAGGGUGCAAGCGUUGUCCGGAAUUAUUGGGCGUAAAGAGCUCGUAGGCGGUUUGUCGCGUCUGCUGUGAAAACCCGAGGCUCAACCUCGGGCCUGCAGUGGGUACGGGCAGACUAGAGUGCGGUAGGGGAGAUUGGAAUUCCUGGUGUAGCGGUGGAAUGCGCAGAUAUCAGGAGGAACACCAAUGGCGAAGGCAGAUCUCUGGGCCGUAACUGACGCUGAGGAGCGAAAGCAUGGGGAGCGAACAGGAUUAGAUACCCUGGUAGUCCAUGCCGUAAACGUUGGGAACUAGAUGGUGGGGGACCAUUCCACGGUCUCCGUGUCGCAGCUAACGCAUUAAGUUCCCCGCCUGGGGAGUACGGCCGCAAGGGCUAAAACUCAAGGAGUUGACGGGGGCCCGCACAAGCGGCGGAGCAUGCGGAUUAAUUCGAUGCAACGCGGAGAAGCUUUACCAAGGCUUGACAUAUACCGGAAACCUGCAAAAUGUAAGCCGCCGCAAGGUCGGUAGUACAGUGGUGCAUGGUUGUCGUCAGCUCGUGUUCUUGAGAUGUUUGAUAAGUACACACAACGAGCGCAAACCCUCGUCUAGUCUGCCACACCUGACUGGUGGACUCAUGGGAUACUUGCGGGAUCAGCUCGAGUACUUGGGAUGACGUCAGAUCAUCAUUCCGUUAUGUCUUGCCUCGGCAUGUGCUACAUGCGUCAGGGCUGCUAACCAGGUUGACCACUCCAUGAGAGCGGAACUCAAG